Molecule: ribosomal RNA, 514 nt
Filed under: uncultured bacterium
Lineage: Bacteria
Description: bacterial SSU rRNA
Rfam family: Bacterial small subunit ribosomal RNA
Source: RNAcentral
CUGGCUCAGGACGAACGCUGGCGGCGUGCCUAACACAUGCAAGUCGAGCGGGGACAUGCGACGGAUAGGAAGAUUCGGUUGGACUGAAGAUGCAUGUUCUAGCGCGGACGGGUGAGUAACGCGUGAGCAACCUGUCCCUUACAGGGGGAUAACACAGCGAAAGUUGUACUAAUACCGCAUAAGACCACGGGAGGACAUCCUUCAGGGGUCAAAGGAGGAAUCCGGUAAGGGGUGGGGCUCGCGUCCGAUUAGAUAGUUGGUGAGGUAACGGCCCACCAAGUCGACGAUCGGUAGCCGACCUGAGAGGGUGAUCGGCCACAUUGGGACUGAGACACGGCCCAAACUCCUACGGGAGGCAGCAGUGGGGAAUAUUGGGCAAGUACGGGGGGAAACCCUGACCCAGCAACGCCGCGUGAGGGAAGAAGGUUUUCGGAUCGUAAACCUCUGUCCUUGGUGAAGAGGAAGAGACGGUAGCCAAGGAGGAAGCCCCGGCUAACUACGUGCCAGCCGCGGC